This 274-nucleotide ribosomal RNA is filed under the name uncultured bacterium. RNAcentral's name for it is "partial 16S ribosomal RNA". It matches the Rfam family "Bacterial small subunit ribosomal RNA", at positions 523 to 796 of the family's 1533-position model. The record is from RNAcentral.
AUACGGAGGGGGCUAGCGUUGCUCGGAUUUACUGGGCGUAAAGGGCGCGUAGGCGGAUUAGCAAGUCAGGCGUGAAAGCCCCGGGCUCAACCUGGGAAAUGCGCUUGAGACUGCUGGUCUAGAGUUCGGGAGAGGGUAGUGGAAUUCCCAGUGUAGAGGUGAAAUUCGUAGAUAUUGGGAAGAACACCAGUGGCGAAGGCGGCUACCUGGACCGAUACUGACGCUGAGGCGCGAAAGCGUGGGGAGCAAACAGGAUUAGAAACCCCGGUAGUCC